RNAcentral lists this non-coding RNA (28 nucleotides) under Bombyx mori (domestic silkworm). The record is from RNAcentral. Lineage: Eukaryota; Metazoa; Arthropoda; Insecta; Lepidoptera; Bombycidae.
UUAUUUGUAGGUAAGUCGUCUGGUUUGA